UAAUUCAUUAGGUGCAGGAGGGGUGGGGUGAGAGAGUACGAGGGGUCAACUAUGAUUCUCUGGUUUCUGGCAUGAACAAGUGGAUGGAUGGUGUGUCAUUUGCUAGGAUGAGCAAUAAUUGAGUUGGUGUGUGUGGUGGGGGGGGUUAAGAUCAAUAAUCCCAGUUUUUCGUUUUGAACAGAUUAAAUCUGAGAAGCCUAAGAGACAUCCAAAAGCAGGCAUCCAGUAGAAAGUUCCAGAGACUGUGUAGGAGCUCAGAAGAAAGACCUGGGCCGGGCAUCUGAGUUUGGAAGCCUUUGCCGUAUGGAAGGUGCUAUGGAAGCCACAGCGGAGGAACCAGGAUCACUGCUUCUGGGACCUUCCUGGGGUCCUACAGGACAACUUGGUCGUCCCCCAGGGCACAGCAGGCUUAUGGCUGGGUUACAGCUUUUCUCGUGUAUGCUUGAGGACGGGGAGUCCCACGGCGUCUGCGCAGCAGCACUGCGUCUGACACGCGGAGCAGGCCCCGAGUGAAGCCCUGACAGUUCCCAGACCCUCUGCAUUAUCACCCAAGGAAUCCAGCUUCCAGGACCAGCCCGGGGUAGGAGAAACAGAAAUGGAGACAGAGCCCAGCUCCCAUCAGCCCACGGAUACACAUCAAGCCGGGAGGUCAGAGGUGACGGGACGGGUGGGGGUGGGGGCGGGGAGGCACCUGGAUUCCUCUCUCCCAGCUCCCAGGAGCCUCAGGUAUUUUUUAAUUAAGCCGAGGAGAAGCAACAGGGACCCUCUGGAAUGUAAACAUCAGAUAAGCCCAGGCCCCCCUCCUCUCCAGGGAGCUUCCAUUUUGUGUCUUCCAGGGUGAACACCACAUUCUUUGCCGGACCUAGUUCCCGCCCCUCUGGUUCCUGCGGGUCCCCUCUCCCGAGGGGGGGGAAGGAGUCUGCCUCUCAAGUUCUUUCCAUGUCCCCUCCCAGCCUUUGUCUCGGUCUUUGGGCCUUUUUGUAACCCCAGGGGCUUCGUAGUCUCAGGCGGGGCCUGUGCUUGGGAACCUGGAGGGAGACCUCAGAUUUUAAUCAGUAUGUGGGUAUCUCUUUGGGUUCGUGCUGUGGGAUUUUGACCUCUGCCGUGGGCCUCUGUACCCUGUGUCUUCGGGAUGGUACAGCGCUCCCCAGCACUGGGCCAAUCCAAUGCGAACAGCUAAUGCCAUCCAACACGUGGCGCUGGGCACCCCAAGUACUGAGAGAAUAGUCCGGGCAGGUGGCGCUAAUCAGAGGUGCCCAGAGGAGGGGGCAUCGGCAGCCAGCGGGUGCCGCGGUUACAGAGAAGGCCUCAGGGAGCAGGCGGGGUUCGCCUACUUGAGGGAAGCGUGGGAAAAGGGGGACAGAGAGGUGUGGGCAGGAGGCAGCGUGGGAACCAUUGCUUGGGAUCAGCUCAGGUGAAGCAGAGGGUUUAGAGAAGGGGGAGAUGGGAGAGUUAAAGGCUGAGACAAUUAUGGGGGUGGUGGGAGAGAUGGAAUGCAGGGCUAAGGAGGCUGGAUUUUAUACCCUCAACAGUGGGAAGACCUUCAAGGUGUAUACCAUUGGGGGAGGGAUUAGAGAUGGGGGACAGAUGCCCAUUUAAAGGUAAUUUGGGGGAUCCCUGGGGGGCUCAGCGGUUUGGCGCCUGCCUUUGGCCCAGGGCGCGAUUCUGGAGACCCUGGAUCGAAUCCCACGUCGGGCUCCCGGUGCAUGGAGCCUGCUUCUCCCUCUGCCUGUGUCUCUGCCUCUCUCUCUCUCUCUCUCUCUGUGACUAUCAUAAAUGAAUAAAAAAUUAAAAAAAAAAAAGGUAAUUCGGGCAGCAGGGCGAGGGUCCCAUGCUCUCUUACCACCCCACACCUCCCCCUCGGCUGGUACCCUUGUCUCAGCCAGCCCAGCAGUCCCUGGAGUGAAGAUCUGGAAUCCGAGUGACUCUCAGACCCUGCGUCCACAUUGCCUAGGGGUUCUGUCCACAGUAAAGCUUGGACCUCAAAGCCUUUCUGCCUUUCAGGUAGCGUAGGACGGGAUGAACUGUUCCGGGCCGGAGUGCCUGGCAUCCUUCAGGGAAGGGUCCAGUUGAUUGUGGGCACCUGGCUCUCACCUUGGCCGGGAGAUGGUUUGGAACAAGCUCACUGGGUCCCUGGGGACACGCUGGAGGUUCAGUCACCUACAGAGGCGCCCCAAAGUGUCCCCACUUCUCCUUGUGAUCCACAGACACAAGCUUCACUGACCCCCACUUUUCCUCCCUUCUCCUCCUCCCUCAGGGGUCAGGUCUUGGGAAGAGUGCACUGGAAGGCAGAGCCACGCUGAGUCCUGGGGUCUGGGAGAAAGUCUCAGGGACAGCGGAUGGAGGCGGUGACCUCUCCAGGGUUGUUCUUCUGGGGGCACUGGCUGGGCGCGUUGGCUUCCGUCUCUGGGAAUCUGGGCCUGUGCCGUCUGGAGCUGCUCCUACACGAAGGGAUUCAUCUUUCUCUUUGCCCCAAGGUGGGCCACUUGCCUUUCUUCAUGUCCUGGUUCUCCCCACUUACCCAUUUCUUCUUCAGGGCAGGGCUGGAAAGGUGGGGGACACGCGGCUCAGCUCUGAGCUUGGUGCAGUGGUGCUCUCUGCAGGCCCUUCUGUCUUGGGGCCGGGGUGUCAUUUGGCCCCUGGGACUCUGGGACCACAGAUGCCUCCAUCUCUCUCUC
RNAcentral lists this long non-coding RNA (2678 nucleotides) under Canis lupus familiaris (dog). Its description in RNAcentral is "lncRNA (ENSCAFG00845023602.1)". The record is from RNAcentral. Lineage: Eukaryota; Metazoa; Chordata; Mammalia; Carnivora; Canidae.